This 688-nucleotide long non-coding RNA is filed under the name Astyanax mexicanus (Mexican tetra). RNAcentral describes it as "lncRNA (ENSAMXG00005015203.1)". The record is from RNAcentral. Lineage: Eukaryota; Metazoa; Chordata; Actinopteri; Characiformes; Acestrorhamphidae.
CUAACAUUAAUGAACAUCAUGACACACAGUAACAUCACUGGAGAUUUAACCACACUAAUCUUUUACUCAAUAUCUUACACUGUCUGUCGGGUCAGUAGACUGUACAUGUUCUCUCCUUCCACAACCAAUUGCUUCUGACUUAAUCAUUAAUCACCAGCUGCCUCACCACUCGCACCCCCCUUCCCACAGACUCUGAACUAAUAACAAUGCGAAAAAUGUAUUUUUUGGGGUCUAAAGGUGAACAGUUGUUUAUGGUAAUAUUUUUUUUAAACCCUUUAACAGGCAACAGGAGUUGGCAAUCAGCCAUGUAACAGUGUGAUUCAGUAUGAGAAGAUUACAGAAUCUAAAUCAGUGAUGAGUACAGUCUCUAAACCUGCUGUUCUAGUAGUGCUUCAUUACUCCAUAGACCCAGAGAAGGUUAUAUUAGAAAGCAGCAAACUAGCAGCAAAGAGACCAAACACACGCACAGUGGACUGUCUCUUCCAUGAAGAUAAAGGAUUACUAAAGUGCUGCAAGAAUGAAGAAGCAGUGAAGACAGUUAAGGAGUGGCUGCAGGAUCUAUAUAAGACAAAGCCCACGGCAGCCGUAGUUGAACCUAAAUCAGACGAGGAUAUAAGAGGUAAUUACACAAUGUAAUUGUAUUAUUUGUGUAAAUUUGUGUGUGUGUGUGUGCGUGUGUGUGCGAGGG